CCUACGGGUGGCAGCAGUGGGGAAUAUUGGACAAUGGGCGAAAGCCUGAUCCAGCCAUGCCGCGUGUGUGAAGAAGGCCUUCGGGUUGUAAAGCACUUUCAGUGGGGAAGAAAGCCUUGGGGCUAAUACCCUCGAGGAAGGACAUCACCCACAGAAGAAGCACCGGCUAACUCCGUGCCAGCAGCCGCGGUAAUACGGAGGGUGCGAGCGUUAAUCGGAAUUACUGGGCGUAAAGCGCGCGUAGGCGGUCUGAUAAGCCGGUUGUGUAAGCCCCGGGCUCAACCUGGGAACGGCAUCCGGAACUGUCAGGCUAGAGUGCAGCAGAGGAAGGUAGAAUUCCCGGUGUAGCGGUGAAAUGCGUAGAGAUCGGGAGGAAUACCAGUGGCGAAGGCGGCCUUCUGGACUGACACUGACGCUGAGGUGCGAAAGCGUGGGUAGCAAACAGGAUUAGAUACCCGUGUAGUC
Molecule: ribosomal RNA, 465 nt
Filed under: Vreelandella stevensii
Lineage: Bacteria; Pseudomonadati; Pseudomonadota; Gammaproteobacteria; Oceanospirillales; Halomonadaceae
Description: partial 16S ribosomal RNA
Rfam family: Bacterial small subunit ribosomal RNA
Source: RNAcentral